RNAcentral lists this ribosomal RNA (115 nucleotides) under Fervidibacillus halotolerans. The record is from RNAcentral. Lineage: Bacteria; Bacillati; Bacillota; Bacilli; Caryophanales; Bacillaceae.
UCUGGUAACGAUGGCGAGAAGGUCACACCCGUUCCCAUCCCGAACACGGAAGUUAAGCUUCUCAGCGCCGAUGGUAGUUGGGGAGAUCCCCUGCGAGAGUAGGACGUUGCCAGGC